RNAcentral lists this unclassified non-coding RNA (240 nucleotides) under soil metagenome. RNAcentral describes it as "partial contains 5.8S ribosomal RNA, internal transcribed spacer 2, and large subunit ribosomal RNA". The record is from RNAcentral.
AACGGUCUAUACCUGCGGUACCUGCGGAGGGAUCAUUAACGAAUUAAACUUGAAGGGUUGCAGGUUGUUGCUGGCUUCUUCGGGAGCAUGUGCACGCCUCGGCUCGUUUUCUUCUCUCCUUCACACCCCUGUGCACUUUCCAUGGGUUCUGACUUGAACGGCACCUCUCGAGUCCUGUAGCAGGGACGACCAGAGCGCUGUCGGGUUGCCCCAUGUGCUGUCUACACACCACUUUGUCUG